GCCUGAGUGGCUCAGUGGUUGAGCGUCUGACUUUGGCUCAGGUCAUGAUCUCACGGUUCGUGGGCUCGAGCCCCGCGUCGGGCU
RNAcentral lists this transfer RNA (84 nucleotides) under Felis catus (domestic cat). It matches the Rfam family "tRNA". From Rfam's summary of the family: Transfer RNA (tRNA) molecules are approximately 80 nucleotides in length. Lineage: Eukaryota; Metazoa; Chordata; Mammalia; Carnivora; Felidae. The record is from Rfam by way of RNAcentral.